Oncorhynchus tshawytscha (Chinook salmon) is the source of this 753-nucleotide long non-coding RNA. The record is from Ensembl. NCBI's taxonomy places the organism in Eukaryota, Metazoa, Chordata, Actinopteri, Salmoniformes, Salmonidae.
GCCAGGUGAUGCAGUACUGGCUCCAGCAGCUGCAGCAGAAGCGUUGGGAGUUCAGUAACACCAGAGGGUCUGGACAGAGGGACAGCUGGAGUUCUCCUACCCCUCACACUGGCCUGGUGGCCAAAGAUACAGAUGUCUUUGUGUUUGAGAAGCCCAGUCACAGUGACAGCAUGGAGAGGGUACGCAGCGACUUUGCUAUGGAAACAGACACGGACGGACUGGUGGGUGUCCAAUCAGUACGAGGCCCCUCCCACCACCCCCCCAAUCCCCUCAACUUCUCCAGCAAGCUGGGCCACUGGAGCUCAGAGAUCAGGAACUCCAUGUCAGGUCUGCGUGUGGGUCGAGGAGGAGGAGAACAGACGCUCUGUCUUCUACACUGGGAGCAGUGGUGAUGAGUGGGAGAUGUUAGACGCUCCCUCAACCAAGGACAUCAACCAGGACCACAAACCUCCCACCCAGCCUCAGACUGACUCACACAGACACUCCAUUGGUUCUCCAUUCACAUUUGACUUCGGGCGGAGCAGCAGUUCCUCGUUGCGGCCCAAGCGGCCCACUCUGCGGGACAUAAUGGGUUCAGGGAGGUUAGGACGCAGCACAGAGAGCUCUUCCCCCUCUUCUCAGACCACACCCCCAGUGGAGUGUAACGGCAGCAGGACCAAUGAGCUGCAGCUCCGCCUCCAGAGCCAGGAACAGGAACUGACACGCCUCCACGAGGAGAACAACAACCUGACUGAGGAGUUAACCUCCCAGAAG